AUUCGUAAGGGUUCCUCGGAACCCAGUGUCUCGCCUACUUUUUCUGUUAAUCGCAGGAUCAACAAAAAUGAGGAAGUAAAUCAAUAAAAAUAUUCCUCUUGAUACUAUCUUUUGAUUGUAAGAAGCUUCUGUCGAAGUUUGGUAAAAAUCCAGGAUAAUUUAUGAUUCUAAUAAAUGUUUAAAAACUUACUGCAGACUGAAUGUAAUGUCAACUGGAAGAAAACAAAAUUUCCUUCUAGAUACUAGCAUUUGAUCAUAAACAAGCUUCUGUCCAAGUUUGGUACAAAUCCAAAAUAGUAUAAGAAAGUUAUUAAAAUUCUAAAAACUUUAACCACAGAGUGAAUGUGUUGUUUCCUGGCAGAAAAUCUAAGUCCAUUUAAAAGUAAAAUACGGAAAAAAUGGAUUUCUUUUUUUACAAAAUUUCAUUCUAGAUACUAGCUUUUGAUCAUAAACAAGCUUCUGUCCAAGUUUGAUACAAAUCCAAAAUAGUAUAAGAAAGUUAUUAAAAUUUUAAAAAACUUUAACCACAGAGUGAAUGUGUUGUUUCCUGGCAGAAAAACUAAGUCCAUUUAAAAGUAAAAUAAGGAAAAAAUGGAUUUAUUUUUUUACAAAAUUUACUUCUGGAUACUAUCUUAUGAUCAUAAACAAGCUUCUGUCCAAGUUUGGUAGAAAUCCAGGAUAGUUUAAGAAAGUUAUUAAAAUUUCAAAAACUUUAACCACAGAGUGAAUAUUUGUGGACGCCGCCGACGACGCCGACGGAAUGUAGGAUCG
Long non-coding RNA from Mytilus californianus (California mussel), 771 nucleotides. RefSeq lists it as uncharacterized. Lineage: Eukaryota; Metazoa; Mollusca; Bivalvia; Mytilida; Mytilidae. The transcript has 2 exons. The record is from RefSeq and is a predicted model, not a curated record.